GGGAGAGACUGGCGUAAUGGUAGAGCAUUUGCUUUUCAUGCAGGAAGUCCCAGGUUCAACCCCUGUCAUUUCCA
Molecule: transfer RNA, 74 nt
Filed under: Sphaerodactylus townsendi
Lineage: Eukaryota; Metazoa; Chordata; Lepidosauria; Squamata; Sphaerodactylidae
Description: tRNA-Glu
Source: RNAcentral